This 18-nucleotide ribosomal RNA is filed under the name Saprolegnia longicaulis. Its description in RNAcentral is "partial 18S ribosomal RNA". Lineage: Eukaryota; Oomycota; Saprolegniomycetes; Saprolegniales; Saprolegniaceae. The record is from RNAcentral.
ACCUGCGAAGGAUCAUUA